Molecule: transfer RNA, 74 nt
Filed under: Stegodyphus mimosarum
Lineage: Eukaryota; Metazoa; Arthropoda; Arachnida; Araneae; Eresidae
Rfam family: tRNA
About the family: Transfer RNA (tRNA) molecules are approximately 80 nucleotides in length. Their secondary structure includes four short double-helical elements and three loops (D, anti-codon, and T loops).
Source: Rfam by way of RNAcentral
GCCUUCGUGGUGUAGAGAUUAGCACGCUGGGCGCGUAAUUCCGGAGGUUCGUGGUUCGAAUCCUUGCGAGGGCA